CCUACGGGAGGCAGCAGUGGGGAAUAUUGGGCAAUGGGCGCAAGCCUGACCCAGCAACGCCGCGUGAAGGAAGAAGGCCCUCGGGUUGUAAACUUCUUUUAUCAAGGACGAAACAAAUGACGGGACUUGAUGAAUAAGCCACGGCUAACUACGUUCCAGCAGCCGCGGUAAUACGUAGGGGGCAAGCGUUAACCGGAUUUACUGGGUGUAAAGGGCGGGUAGGCCGGACUGCAAGGCAGAUGCGAAAACCAUGGGACCAACCCAUGGUCUGCAGUGGAAACUGUAGUUCUUGAGUGUUGGAGAGGCAGGCGGAAUUCCGUGUGUAGCGGUGAAAUGCGUAGAUAUACGGAAGAACACCAGUGGCGAAGGCGGCCUGCUGGACAAUAACUGACGCUGAGGCGCGAAAGCGUGGGGAGCAAACAGGAUUAGAUACCCCAGUAGUC
Molecule: ribosomal RNA, 443 nt
Filed under: uncultured bacterium
Lineage: Bacteria
Description: partial 16S ribosomal RNA
Rfam family: Bacterial small subunit ribosomal RNA
Source: RNAcentral